AUAUGACUAUAACACAAGGACCAUUUUGACAUUUAAGCCUAUUAUAAUUAGGUUAUUGAAUUCAUAUCAUAUUCGGAUAAUAAAAGAAUCAUUCUCAUCUCUACCUUAAAAUUGGAUUGAAUUCAUAUCAUAUUCAGACUAUAAAGAACAAAAUACAAUAAUAAAGAAGCUAUUCUCAUCCAUUUAAGAUACUUUAAUUCUCUUUUUAAUCCCCUAUAAAACAACUCUUUAGCAAAGUUGGUCCUACAUGACGAGUCCAACUUGCGAGUCUACGAAAUUCAGUGAUAUAAUCAUUAAGAGUAUCUGUGUUAACGCAAUUUGAACAAAACUUCAACGCUAUCCUCAAACUUUGAGGAUCCAAAUUCCUGACAAAAUAUCUUUAUGAAGUCCUCCCAGCGUGAACUAGUCCGUAAACAAUCCAUCAAUCGGGACCGUUGCAAAGCGGAUUAGAAUACAAGGCCAUGACAACGGAAUAAUCCUAACAUGAAAGUUGCUCUUGCGGUGAGUCCACAUCAAGACAUUGAGGUCAAAUGCAUGCAGUGCCACCACGUUCCUUGCUGCUAAAACAUGCAAACUAAUGGUAGCAUCAUAUUU
RNAcentral lists this long non-coding RNA (594 nucleotides) under Malus domestica (apple). Its description in RNAcentral is "long non-coding RNA (MDOM_LNC005070)". Lineage: Eukaryota; Viridiplantae; Streptophyta; Magnoliopsida; Rosales; Rosaceae. The record is from RNAcentral.